AGCAGAGGUUAAAGUUCACAUUACACAAUCUGUAAGGCACAGUUUAAAUCAUUAAACAGCCUUCCUAGGCUGUUCCUGUUUUCACGCCCCCACAAAUCAGCUUUUCUAGUCCUUUACUUUCUUUUUUCUUCUUCUCUCUCUCCCCUUCUCCCCUCUCCCUCUCUCUGCCUCCCCUGCCCUUUCCAGUGCUGGGAAUGGAACCCAAGGCUUCAUGCAUGCUAGCAUAAAGAAGAGGAAGAGGGCUCCAAGCUAACUUACGAGCAGGAGGGAUGCUGGAGACAGGACCCGCAAAGGUGUGUGCCUGGUAAUGCUCCACCAGAUGACCCUUCAGGUGCUGGACAUGCUGCCAACAAAUAACCUCCACUGUCGGCUCUGGACAGGAAGUGGCCAGGCUGUGGGGCAUCGUCUUGCUCAAGUUCACAUCCCUGUCCUGGGGCAGCCUGCACCCGAUGGCAGGGAGAGCUGGGUUAUAAAGACUCAGCCCCUUGAACCUGCACCCAGGACAAUCAGAGUAGCAUUCUUGCAUUAGGAGACUGUGUCACAGCUCAGCUUCUUCACCUGCCUCUUCCAGAGAUGGGAAUCCCCAGAGCUCUUCCUUACAUGUUCCCGAGUGCUGAUCUCUAUCUCAGAGUCUGCUUCUCAAGGAACCCAACUGAAGCAAUGUCCUGGAAGAAUUUAGAAGCAUUUUUAAACAAUGUGACAUUCCCAUAUCUUCUCAAAAAAAAACACAAAAAACUAAAUUAAAGCUAAAAUUUAAAAAUACUUCCUUUAGUGCAGUAAAGCUCUUAACAGGCAAAUGAUAAGUGUUCUGUACACAUCCGUUCUUGACUCCGCAGUAUGGGUCUCACUGGAGAGCAUAUUAGAAUUGCAGAAUCCAGUGAAAUCAGAAUGUGUAUUUGAACAAGAUUUUCAGAGGAUUCUAAUGUGUAGCAUUGUUGGAUAAACCCUGCCCCACAGGACAAGUGGGUGAGGAUGAUCCCACAGGAAUGCUGACUGGUAGCAGAAGUAUCCCGGCCCCUUCUUUCUGCCCAGCGGGAGGAAGCUGUUUUUAGUUCAGAUGGUACUGUUCCUUCUAAAAGGAGUUUAAAGACAUGCGUCUUUCACAGAGCAGUCACAAAGAGGCAGAAAACACAGAGAGAUGGUCAGGAAAUGAGCAUCAGUGUUAAGCAAACGGGAAAAGACACCUCCAAAAUGAAGUCCCAGCACUUCUCAGAGCACAGAGGAAAGAGGAAAAGCCUCCCUGGAAAUACAAUCACUGGACUUUGAAUCCAGCAGUGAUUUCAAUCUUUCCCAAAUGGCAAUAAGGAAUCUAGUCUACGAAGCCUUCCAUGUAGCAGCAGGGAUAUUCAGGCGGAGUCUGACCUCUGAGUAGCCUUGCUAAUAAGCGCCCUACAGUAGGCAAGAACAGGCGAGUGACACUCAUGACAAUGUUGCUCCACUAUGAUCCAUUUAUGUUGAGCUUUGGCCUAUUCUCACUGAAGAACAAGGACAGCCACACUACAACAAGGACAAGCCAUUCUACAGGAAGGACAAGCAGCUGCCAGGAGGAGAGGCAGGGGCUCCCAGUUCCCAGGGACACACAGCUAACUCAUCCCACCAUGUCUCAACUCAGAAUGCAGCAAGCAAACCUGCAUAGAUUCCCUGGGCAGCCCUCACAGCCCAACCUUUAAUCCUCACAAGUCAGGACAGCUAUCUCCUCUCCAAGUGGAAAUUCCCAUCAGCCACUCAGACAGGAAAUGGAAAUGCUUGCCAGUUUACAGAUCAGCAAUUAAAGGCUAUUAGAAUCAUGUUACUGAAAAAAUAUUAGAAGGCAACCAAUGAAAUCAGGAGAUUAAAGGAUAUCUGUGUCUCUG
This is a long non-coding RNA of Heterocephalus glaber (naked mole-rat), 1853 nucleotides long. The record is from Ensembl. Lineage: Eukaryota; Metazoa; Chordata; Mammalia; Rodentia; Bathyergidae.